Molecule: ribosomal RNA, 253 nt
Filed under: uncultured bacterium
Lineage: Bacteria
Description: partial 16S ribosomal RNA
Rfam family: Bacterial small subunit ribosomal RNA
Source: RNAcentral
UACGGAGGAUGCAAGCGUUAUCCGGAAUGAUUGGGCGUAAAGGGUCCGCAGGUGGCAGUGUAAGUCUGCUGUUAAAGAGUCUGGCUCAACCAGAUCAAGGCAGUGGAAACUACACAGCUAGAGUGAGGUAGGGGCAGAGGGAAUUCCUGGUGUAGCGGUGAAAUGCGUAGAGAUCAGGAAGAACACCGGUGGCGAAAGCGCUCUGCUAGACCAAUACUGACACUGAGGGACGAAAGCUAGGGGAGCGAAUGGG